GCUCCAAGUGGGCCAUUUUU
Molecule: small nuclear RNA, 20 nt
Filed under: Arabidopsis thaliana (thale cress)
Lineage: Eukaryota; Viridiplantae; Streptophyta; Magnoliopsida; Brassicales; Brassicaceae
Description: snRNA_14556
Source: RNAcentral